This 66-nucleotide transfer RNA is filed under the name Heterocephalus glaber (naked mole-rat). It matches the Rfam family "tRNA". From Rfam's summary of the family: Transfer RNA (tRNA) molecules are approximately 80 nucleotides in length. Their secondary structure includes four short double-helical elements and three loops (D, anti-codon, and T loops). Further hydrogen bonds mediate the characteristic L-shaped molecular structure. tRNAs have two regions of fundamental functional importance: the anti-codon, which is responsible for specific mRNA codon recognition, and the 3' end, to which the tRNAs corresponding amino acid is attached (by aminoacyl-tRNA synthetases). tRNAs cope with the degeneracy of the genetic code in two manners: having more than one tRNA (with a specific anti-codon) for a particular amino acid; and 'wobble' base-pairing, i.e. permitting non-standard base-pairing at the 3rd anti-codon position. Lineage: Eukaryota; Metazoa; Chordata; Mammalia; Rodentia; Bathyergidae. The record is from Rfam by way of RNAcentral.
GGUGUAGCUCAGUGGUAAGGCACUUUGCCUUGCAUGCAGAAGGUCCUGGAUUCAAUUCUCAGCACC